UAGCUCACUUGGCAGAGCAUUUGCCUGCCACGCAGAAGGGCCUGGGUUCCACCCCCAG
RNAcentral lists this transfer RNA (58 nucleotides) under Cricetulus griseus (Chinese hamster). It matches the Rfam family "tRNA", at positions 8 to 63 of the family's 71-position model. From Rfam's summary of the family: Transfer RNA (tRNA) molecules are approximately 80 nucleotides in length. Their secondary structure includes four short double-helical elements and three loops (D, anti-codon, and T loops). Lineage: Eukaryota; Metazoa; Chordata; Mammalia; Rodentia; Cricetidae. The record is from Rfam by way of RNAcentral.